GUUCGCGUAAAGCCGAAAAUGCCCCCAUUUUGGUCUUUCACACGGGUGGGGUCGCAGGUUCAAUCCCUGCCGCGCCCACCA
This 81-nucleotide transfer RNA is filed under the name Blastomonas fulva. RNAcentral's name for it is "tRNA-Leu". The record is from RNAcentral. Lineage: Bacteria; Pseudomonadati; Pseudomonadota; Alphaproteobacteria; Sphingomonadales; Blastomonadaceae.